Molecule: ribosomal RNA, 629 nt
Filed under: Trichoderma erinaceum
Lineage: Eukaryota; Fungi; Ascomycota; Sordariomycetes; Hypocreales; Hypocreaceae
Description: eukaryotic LSU rRNA
Rfam family: 5.8S ribosomal RNA (bases 227-380)
Source: RNAcentral
AAAAACCCUUCCGUAAGGGGUACCUGCGGAGGGAUCAUUACCGAGUUUACAACUCCCAAACCCAAUGUGAACCAUACCAAACUGUUGCCUCGGCGGGGUCACGCCCCGGGUGCGUCGCAGCCCCGGAACCAGGCGCCCGCCGGAGGGACCAACCAAACUCUUUACUGUAGUCCCCUCGCGGACGUUAUUUCUUACAGCUCUGAGCAAAAAAUUCAAAAUGAAUCAAAACUUUCAACAACGGAUCUCUUGGUUCUGGCAUCGAUGAAGAACGCAGCGAAAUGCGAUAAGUAAUGUGAAUUGCAGAAUUCAGUGAAUCAUCGAAUCUUUGAACGCACAUUGCGCCCGCCAGUAUUCUGGCGGGCAUGCCUGUCCGAGCGUCAUUUCAACCCUCGAACCCCUCCGGGGGGUCGGCGUUGGGGAUCGGGAACCCCUCAGACGGGAUCCCGGCCCCGAAAUACAGUGGCGGUCUCGCCGCAGCCUCUCCUGCGCAGUAGUUUGCACAACUCGCACCGGGAGCGCGGCGCGUCCACGUCCGUAAAACACCCAACUUUCUGAAAUGUUGACCUCGGAUCAGGUAGGAAUACCCGCUGAACUUAAGCAUAUCUAAACCCGGAAGGAAAAAUAUUUUU